RNAcentral lists this ribosomal RNA (498 nucleotides) under uncultured bacterium. Its description in RNAcentral is "bacterial SSU rRNA". It matches the Rfam family "Bacterial small subunit ribosomal RNA", at positions 355 to 868 of the family's 1533-position model. The record is from RNAcentral.
UGGGGAAUCUUGGACAAUGGGGGCAACCCUGAUCCAGCCAUGCCGCGUGAGUGAUGAAGGCCUUAGGGUCGUAAAGCUCUUUCGCCUGUGAAGAUAAUGACGGUAGCAGGUAAAGAAACCCCGGCUAACUCCGUGCCAGCAGCCGCGGUAAUACGGAGGGGGUUAGCGUUGUUCGGAAUUACUGGGCGUAAAGCGCACGUAGGCGGACCAGAAAGUUGGGGGUGAAAUCCCGGGGGCUCAACCCCGGAACUAGCCUCCAAAACUAUUGGUCUAGAGUUCGAGAGAGGUGAGUGGAAUUCCAAGUGUAGAGGUGAAAUUCGUAGAUAUUUGGAGGAACACCAGUGGCGAAGGCGGCUCACUGGCUCGAUACUGACGCUGAGGUGCGAAAGUGUGGGGAGCAAACAGGAUUAGAUACCCUGGUAGUCCACACCGUAAAACGAUGAAUGCCAGUCGUCGGGUAGCAUGCUAUUCGGUGACACACCUAACGGAUUAAGCAUU